This 245-nucleotide ribosomal RNA is filed under the name uncultured bacterium. RNAcentral's name for it is "partial 16S ribosomal RNA". It matches the Rfam family "Bacterial small subunit ribosomal RNA", at positions 524 to 768 of the family's 1533-position model. The record is from RNAcentral.
UACGUAGGGGGCGAGCGUUGUCCGAAUUUACUGGGCGUAAAGCGCGCGUAGGCGGACCUUUAAGUGGAGGGUGAAAUCUCAAGGCUUAACCUUGAAACUGCCUUCCAAACUGGAGGUCUUGAGGUAUGGAGAGGGAAGUGGAAUUCCUGGUGUAGCGGUGAAAUGCGUAGAUAUCAGGAGGAACACCCGUGGCGAAGGCGGCUUCCUGGCCAUAUCCUGACGCUGAGGUGCGAAAGCCAGGGGAG